GUUGCUUCUCGGCCUUUUGACUAAGAUCAAGUGUAGUAUCUGUUCUUAUCAGUUUAAUACCUGAUACGUCCUCUAUCCGAGGACAAUAUAUUAAAUGGAUUUUUGGAGCAAGGAGUUGGAAUAGGAGCUUGUUCCGUGCACUCCAUGCGUUGACCCGGUAUUGCAGUACUUCUAGUGCACCAAAA
Myotis myotis is the source of this 185-nucleotide small nuclear RNA. RefSeq annotates it as U2 spliceosomal RNA. The record is from RefSeq and is a predicted model, not a curated record. Lineage: Eukaryota; Metazoa; Chordata; Mammalia; Chiroptera; Vespertilionidae. The transcript has a single exon.